GACAUACUCCUUCCUUUCCGAACUACUUGUUUUUGGAUUUAUCUAGAUACGGAUGUAUCUAAACUCAUUUUAGUGCGAGAUACCUCCGUAUCUAAACAAAUCUAAGACAAGAAAUUCGGAACGAAGGGAGUAGUAU
Molecule: non-coding RNA, 136 nt
Organism: Triticum urartu
Lineage: Eukaryota; Viridiplantae; Streptophyta; Magnoliopsida; Poales; Poaceae
Source: Rfam